Molecule: ribosomal RNA, 467 nt
Filed under: uncultured bacterium
Lineage: Bacteria
Description: partial 16S ribosomal RNA
Rfam family: Bacterial small subunit ribosomal RNA
Source: RNAcentral
GACGAACGCUGGCGGCGUGCUUAACACAUGCAAGUCGAACGGAAAGGCCCUGCUUUUGUGGUGUGCUCGAGUGGCUAACGGGUGAGUAACACGUGAGUAACCUGCCCUUGACUUUGGGAUAACUUCAGGAAACUGGGGCGAAUACCGGAUAGGAUCUCCUGCUGCAUGGUGGGGGUUGGAAGUUUCGGCGGGUGGGGAUGGACUCGAGGCUUAUCAGCUUGUUGGUGGGGUAGUGGCUUACCAAGGCUUUGACGGGUAGCCGGCCUGAGAGGGUGACCGGCCACAUUGGGACUGAGAUACGGCCCAGACUCCUACGGGAGGCAGCAGUGGGGAAUAUUGCACAAUGGGCGGAAGCCUGAUGCAGCAACGCCGCGUGCGGGAUGACGGCCUUCGGGUUGUAAACCGCUUUCGCCUGUGACGAAGCGUGAGUGACGGUAAUGGGUAAAGAAGCACCGGCUAAAUACGUG